GAUGAACGCUGGCGGCGUGCCUAAUACAUGCAAGUCGAGCGAACAGACGAGGAGCUUGCUCCUCUGACGUUAGCGGCGGACGGGUGAGUAACACGUGGAUAACCUACCUAUAAGACUGGGAUAACUUCGGGAAACCGGAGCUAAUACCGGAUAAUAUAUUGAACCGCAUGGUUCAAUAGUGAAAGACGGUUUUGCUGUCACUUAUAGAUGGAUCCGCGCCGCAUUAGCUAGUUGGUAAGGUAACGGCUUACCAAGGCGACGAUGCGUAGCCGACGUGAGAGGGUGAUCGGCCACACUGGAACUGAGACACGGUCCAGACUCCUACGGGAGGCAGCAGUAGGGAAUCUGCCGCAAUGGGCGAAAGCCUGACGGAGCAACGCCGCGUGAGUGAUGAAGGUCUUCGGAUCGUAAAACUCUGUUAUUAGGGAAGAACAAAUGUGUAAGUAACUAUGCACGUCUUGACGGUACCUAAUCAGAAAGCCACGGCUAACUACGUG
This 497-nucleotide ribosomal RNA is filed under the name uncultured bacterium. RNAcentral describes it as "partial 16S ribosomal RNA". It matches the Rfam family "Bacterial small subunit ribosomal RNA", at positions 28 to 507 of the family's 1533-position model. The record is from RNAcentral.